AGUCCUUACAGUCUUUGAAGACUGGGAGUUUGUACCUCCUAAGAGGCUCAAGCCUGAGGACUA
RNAcentral lists this transfer RNA (63 nucleotides) under Polyplax reclinata. RNAcentral's name for it is "tRNA-Thr". The record is from RNAcentral. Lineage: Eukaryota; Metazoa; Arthropoda; Insecta; Psocodea; Polyplacidae.